Cinara cedri is the source of this 1189-nucleotide non-coding RNA. NCBI's taxonomy places the organism in Eukaryota, Metazoa, Arthropoda, Insecta, Hemiptera, Aphididae. The record is from the annotation of a GenBank genome assembly.
CUCCGUUCAUUAUCAGUCGUAUUACCUACUGUCAUUAUUAUUAUUAUGACAUUUCGUGACAUCACCAAUUCCCCUUCCCCAUAUACGGUCAAUCAUGACCGUCAUUCAAGACUGACCGUGGAUGUGUACGAUUGAUAAUGACUGACAAUCAAAUUUUAUGACUGAUGAAAUUCAAACAUGUUUAUCAUCAGUUAAGACUAAAGAUGAUUGAAAUUCAUAAUUGAUUGUGUAUGUCUAUGAAUGAACAAUUUAUCAGUCAAUCAAGUCGAAUUGUGUGGAGCAGUUGUGUCUUUCUUGUCUUUCGAUCAUUUCAUAUCUUCGUCUAAAAAUGGCAAAUAGGUAAAUAAUGAAGAAUUUUUGGCGCGAAUUUAUAAGUUCAUACCGUAGUUUACUUGCUGCGUGAAAAAUAAAGUGAUUUGUACAAAAAUUCAUUUUAAUGCAGUUUAUUUUUAAAUUUAAUUUGAAAAUAUUUUUAAUUUUUUCAAUAAAUAUUGAAUAACAACUACACGAUACACUACGCUUUCAAUAGUAAUAAUUGUGUUGACUAAAAUAAAAUAACCGAAUGACUAAAGAUUGUCAGUCUUGAUUGACUGUAUAUGGUAAUUAUCAAUUGUCAGUCUUUACUGUCAAUCACGUUGAUUGUCAUUCAUGACUAACCGUGUAUGGGAGCUGAAAGCCAAGUUAAAAGAUGAUCCCCAAAUAUAUAAGUACCUAUACACUAUACAUACAUUUUAUUUGAUUCAUUAUAAUUAUGAUAGUAAUUUAAACAAUUUUUACAUAGUUACUUGACGUAAAGUAUUCAUAACUUGCAUACAAUAUUUAUAUGAAAUGAAUAAUUUUAAUUUAGAAAUCUAAUUUUUAAUGUUGUCAUCCAAAACAUUCAUUUUAAUAUGGUUAUACCACUAAUGUGACUCAAAGAAAAUGUGACAUGAAAUAAAGGUUGUAAUAUUAAAUGCCAUACAAUACUUACCUUCAAAGGUUCUAUAAUUAAUGACGGAAUAUCCUCAUACUAAUGUCCAUAAUAUUCCUGAACCAAACUGGUUAAAAUUAUUAGGAUUUUUAACAUGUCUUACCAUUAUUGAAGAAGUGUAAAUAUAAUAAUAAUAUUUGUAAAAACUUAAAUAUAUAAUCAUGUAAAUUAGUAAAUUAAAUACCUAUUCAUAAUGUUUCUGAAAUUUGUUUAUAAAAU